RNAcentral lists this ribosomal RNA (409 nucleotides) under uncultured Cryomonadida. RNAcentral describes it as "partial small subunit ribosomal RNA". It matches the Rfam family "Eukaryotic small subunit ribosomal RNA", at positions 30 to 432 of the family's 1831-position model. Lineage: Eukaryota; Cercozoa; Thecofilosea. The record is from RNAcentral.
GCUUGUCUCAAAGAUUAAGCCAUGCAUGUCUAAGUAUAAACAACUUUAUACUGUAAAACUGCGAACGGCUCAUUAUAUCAGCAAUAAUUUAUUUGAUGGUUUCUUACCCCAUGGAUAACUGUGGUAAUUCUAGAGCUAAUACAUGCGUAAAGUCCCGACUCUUUCUGGGGAGGGAUGUAUUUAUUAGAUAAAAAACCAAUGCGGGUUCUGCCCGGUUUUGUGUUGAAUCACAAUAACUGCUCGAAUCGCAUGGCUUCACGCCGGCGAUGGUUCAUUCAAAUUUCUGCCCUAUCAGCUUUCGAUGGUAGGAUCGAGGCCUACCAUGGCGUUUACGGGUAACGGAGAAUUAGGGUUCGAUUCCGGAGAGGGAGCCUGAGAGAUGGCUACCACAUCCAAGGAAGGCAGCAGG